CCUACGGGAGGCAUCAGUGAGGAAUAUUGGUCAAUGGGCGCGAGCCUGAACCAGCCAAGUAGCGUGAAGGAUGACUGCCCUACGGGUUGUAAACUUCUUUUAUAAAGGCAUACAGUGAGGCACGUGUGUCUUUUUGUAUGUACUUUAUGAAUAAGGAUCGGCUAACUCCGUGCCAGCAGCCGCGGUAAUAUGGAGGAGCCGAGCGUUAUCCGGAUUUAUUGGGUUUAAAGGGAGCGUAGAUGGGUUGUUAAGUCAGUUGUGAAAGUUCGCGGCUCAACCGUAAAAUGGCGAUUGAUACUGGCAGCCUUGAGUACAGUUGAGGAAGGCGGAAUUCGUGGUGUAGCGGUGAAAUGCUUAGAUAUCACGAAGAACUCCGAUUGCGAAGGCAGCUUACUAAACUGCCACUGACAUUGAUGCUCGAAAGUGUGGGUAUCAAACAGGAUUAGAUACCCCUGUAGUC
RNAcentral lists this ribosomal RNA (460 nucleotides) under uncultured bacterium. RNAcentral's name for it is "partial 16S ribosomal RNA". It matches the Rfam family "Bacterial small subunit ribosomal RNA", at positions 338 to 795 of the family's 1533-position model. The record is from RNAcentral.